Molecule: long non-coding RNA, 144 nt
Organism: Sander lucioperca (pikeperch)
Lineage: Eukaryota; Metazoa; Chordata; Actinopteri; Perciformes; Percidae
Exons: 3
Source: RefSeq, a predicted model, not a curated record
AACUACUUAUUACUUGAGUAAUUUUUCAGAUAGGUAAUUUCACUUGUACUUGAGUAAUAUUUCGUCAAAGUAUUGGUACUACUAUAUUUACUUGAGUACAGUAUUUUAGUACCGUUUCCACCUCUGAUAAAUUGGUCAGUUUCA